This 505-nucleotide ribosomal RNA is filed under the name uncultured bacterium. RNAcentral's name for it is "partial 16S ribosomal RNA". It matches the Rfam family "Bacterial small subunit ribosomal RNA", at positions 28 to 507 of the family's 1533-position model. The record is from RNAcentral.
GACGAACGCUGGCGGCGUGCCUAAUACAUGCAAGUAGAACGCACAGUUUAUACCGUAGCUUGCUACACCAUAGACUGUGAGUUGCGAACGGGUGAGUAACGCGUAGGUAACCUGCCUGGUAGCGGGGGAUAACUAUUGGAAACGAUAGCUAAUACCGCAUAAUAUUGAUUAUUGCAUGAUAAUUGAUUGAAAGAUGCUAUUGCAUCACUACCAGAUGGACCUGCGUUGUAUUAGCUAGUAGGUGAGGUAACGGCUCACCUAAGCGACGAUACAUAGCCGACCUGAGAGGGUGAUCGGCCACACUGGGACUGAGACACGGCCCAGACUCCUACGGGAGGCAGCAGUAGGGAAUCUUCGGCAAUGGACGAAAGUCUGACCGAGCAACGCCGCGUGAGUGAAGAAGGUUUUCGGAUCGUAAAGCUCUGUUGUAAGAGAAGAACGGGUGUGAGAGUGGAAAGUUCACACUGUGACGGUAUCUUACCAGAAAGGGACGGCUAACUACGUG